CAGCCGCCACGGGAAUACGUAGGGUGCAAGCGUUAAUCGGAAUUACUGGGCGUAAAGCGUGCGCAGGGGGUUUGUUAAGACAGAUGUGAAAUCCCCGGGCUCAACCUGGGAACUGCAUUUGUGACUGGCAAGCUAGAGUGUGGCAGAGGGGGGUGGAAUUCCGCGUGUAGCAGUGAAAUGCGUAGAUAUGCGGAGGAACACCGAUGGCGAAGGCAGCCCCCUGGGCCAACACUGACGCUCAUGCACGAAAGCGUGGGGAGCAAACAGGAUUAGAUACCCCCGUAGUCCCUGUCUCUUAUAC
RNAcentral lists this ribosomal RNA (301 nucleotides) under uncultured bacterium. Its description in RNAcentral is "partial 16S ribosomal RNA". It matches the Rfam family "Bacterial small subunit ribosomal RNA", at positions 509 to 807 of the family's 1533-position model. The record is from RNAcentral.